CAGUAGCCGCGGUAAAACGAGGGGGGCAAGCGUUGUUCGGAUUUAUUGGGCGUAAAGGGUGCGUAGGCGGUUUGGCAAGUCUUGUGUGAAAUCCCCGGGCUCAACCUGGGAAUGGCGCUUGUGACUGCAAAGCUAGAGUGCGGCAGAGGGGGAUGGAAUUCCGCGUGUAGCAGUGAAAUGCGUAGAUAUGCGGAGGAACACCGAUGGCGAAGGCAAUCCCCUGGGCCUGCACUGACGCUCAUGCACGAAAGCGUGGGGAGCAAACAGGAUUAGAUACCCGCGUAGUCCCUGUCUCUUAUAC
Molecule: ribosomal RNA, 301 nt
Filed under: uncultured bacterium
Lineage: Bacteria
Description: partial 16S ribosomal RNA
Rfam family: Bacterial small subunit ribosomal RNA
Source: RNAcentral